AGUUAAUUAGCUUAUAUAAAGCGUAUGUCUUGAAAAUAUAAUUAAGGUUCAGCCAACCUAUUAACUU
RNAcentral lists this transfer RNA (67 nucleotides) under Paphnutius ruficeps. RNAcentral describes it as "tRNA-Ser". Lineage: Eukaryota; Metazoa; Arthropoda; Insecta; Hemiptera; Cercopidae. The record is from RNAcentral.